Suncus etruscus (white-toothed pygmy shrew) is the source of this 135-nucleotide long non-coding RNA. RefSeq lists it as uncharacterized. The record is from RefSeq and is a predicted model, not a curated record. The transcript is spliced from 2 exons. NCBI's taxonomy places the organism in Eukaryota, Metazoa, Chordata, Mammalia, Eulipotyphla, Soricidae.
GAGAAACUGGUCAUGGAUUAUCUGCAAGUUGAAGCUGAGGAGGAAGCCCUGCCGACCCAGGAUGCCGCCCUGUCCCCAAACCAGAGCCUGGAAGAAACAGAGCCGAGUGCGGAGGUGUUUCCAGUUGAGUUCCAG